GCUAGUUGGUAGGGUAAUGGCCUACCAAGGCAAAGACGGGUAGGGGGCGUGAGAGCGUGACCCCCCACACUGGCACUGGGACACGGGCCAGACUCCUACGGGAGGCAGCAGUGAGGAAUAUUGCGCAAUGAGCGAAAGCUAGACGCAGCAACGCCGCGUGGGUGAUGAAGGCCUUCGGGUCGUAAAACCCUUUUCUGGGGGAAGAGUAAGGACGGUACCCCAGGAAUAAGCCUCGGCUAACUAUGUGCCAGCAGCCGCGGUAAUACAUAGGAGGCAAGCGUUAUCCGGAUUUACUGGGCGUAAAGAGCGUUGAGGCGGCUUCGUAAGUUGGACGUGAAAGCUCCCGGCUUAACUGGGAGAGGCCGUUCAAUACUGCGGGGCUUGAGGACAGCAGAGGGGGGUGGAAUUUCCGGUGUAGUGGUGAAAUGCGUAGAUAUCGGAAGGAACACCAGUGGCGAAGGCGGCCCCCUGGGCUGCUCCUGACGCUGAAGGCGAAAGCUAGGGUAGCGAACGGGAUUAGAAACCCCGGUAGUCCUAGCCGUAAACGAUGGAUACUAGGCGUAGGAGGUUAAAAUUCCUUCUGUGCCGGAGCUAACGCGUUAAGUAUCCCGCCUGGGGAGUACGGUCGCAAGGCUAAAACUCAAAGGAAUUGACGGGGGCCCGCACAAGCAGCGGAGCGUGUGGUUUAAUUCGAUGCAACGCGAAGAACCUUACCAGGGCUUGACAUGUAGGUAGUAGUGAAGCGAAAGCGGAGCGAUCCUUCGGGAAGCCUACACAGGUGCUGCAUGGCUGUCGUCAGCUCGUGCCGUGAGGUGUUAGGUUAAGUCCUGUAACGAGCGCAACCCCUGCCGUUAGUUACAAGUGUCUAACGGGACUGCCCGGCAAAACUGGGAGGAAGGUGGGGAUGACGUCAAGUCAGCAUGGCCUUUAUGUCCUGGGCUACACACACGCUACAAUGGCCGGUACAAUGGGUUGCCAAGCCGCGAGGCGGAGCCAAUCCUCUAAAGCCGGUCUCAGUUCGGAUUGUAGGCUGCAACCCGCCUGCAUGAAGUUGGAGUUGCUAGUAACCGCAGGUCAGCCACACUGCGGUGAUACGUUCCCGGGCCUUGUACACACCGCCCGUCACGUCAUGGAAGCUGGUAACACCUGAAGCCGGUGAGCUAACCGCA
RNAcentral lists this ribosomal RNA (1169 nucleotides) under uncultured organism. RNAcentral describes it as "bacterial SSU rRNA". It matches the Rfam family "Bacterial small subunit ribosomal RNA", at positions 244 to 1443 of the family's 1533-position model. The record is from RNAcentral.